Molecule: long non-coding RNA, 379 nt
Organism: Mauremys mutica (yellowpond turtle)
Lineage: Eukaryota; Metazoa; Chordata; Testudines; Geoemydidae
Exons: 3
Source: RefSeq, a predicted model, not a curated record
AGGAAAUUCCCUGUCUACAAAACCUAGAAAGCUAACAAGAAUGGGAUGGAGCAAUAGGGAUGAGAGAAGUAAAAAUUGACAUGUUGAUUCUAAGGAAAGGAGCACUUCUGGGCUCUAGAGGAAGUAGAUAUCAUCAUAUCUGGAAGGCAGAGGAGUGAAAGAGGAGAAAACUCAUCAAUCCAGGAAACCCUUUUGGGGAGAGAGAGGGUUUCUCCUCCUUAUCACACCAGCCGGCAUUUGAUCGGAGAGGUGGCACUGAAUGUGUGGCGUCUGAAUGUCAGCAUCCCAGGCUAGGAAAGAAGAGCACGACUUUUGACAUUGUCUUGUAUAUUUGCAGGUGUCUGCAUUUCUUAAAGAAAGGGAAAAGGAACUUUGAGUU